This 501-nucleotide ribosomal RNA is filed under the name uncultured bacterium. RNAcentral describes it as "partial 16S ribosomal RNA". It matches the Rfam family "Bacterial small subunit ribosomal RNA", at positions 30 to 523 of the family's 1533-position model. The record is from RNAcentral.
AUUGAACGCUGGCGGCAGGCUUAACACAUGCAAGUCGAGCGGGGGAAGGUAGCUUGCUACCGGACCUAGCGGCGGACGGGUGAGUAAUGCUUAGGAAUCUGCCUAUUAGUGGGGGACAACAUCUCGAAAGGGAUGCUAAUACCGCAUACGUCCUACGGGAGUAAGCAGGGGAUCUUCGGACCUUGCGCUAAUAGAUGAGCCUAAGUCGGAUUAGCUAGUUGGUGGGGUAAAGGCCUACCAAGGCGACGAUCUGUAGCGGGUCUGAGAGGAUGAUCCGCCACACUGGGACUGAGACACGGCCCAGACUCCUACGGGAGGCAGCAGUGGGGAAUAUUGGACAAUGGGCGGAAGCCUGAUCCAGCCAUGCCGCGUGUGUGAAGAAGGCCUUAUGGUUGUAAAGCACUUUAAGCGAGGAGGAGGCUACUUAGAUUAAUACUCUAGGAUAGUGGACGUUACUCGCAGAAUAAGCACCGGCUAACUCUGUGCCAGCCGCCGCCGUAA